This 254-nucleotide ribosomal RNA is filed under the name uncultured bacterium. RNAcentral describes it as "partial 16S ribosomal RNA". It matches the Rfam family "Bacterial small subunit ribosomal RNA", at positions 524 to 776 of the family's 1533-position model. The record is from RNAcentral.
GACGAACCGUGCGAACGUUAUUCGGAAUCACUGGGCUUAAAGCGCGUGUAGGCGGGCCGGCACGUCGGUCGCUGAAAUCCCCCGGCUCAACCGGGGAAGGGGCGCCGAAACGACCGGCCUGGAGGGGGGUAGGGGAGAACGGAAUUCCCGGUGUAGCGGUGAAAUGCGCAGAUAUCGGGAGGAACACCGGUGGCGAAGGCGGUUCUCUGGGCCUGUACUGACGCUGAGGAGCGAAAGCGUGGGGAGCGAACAGG